UUUGAGCAGGAGCAGCCUGAGCUCACUGUGGGACAUCUCUAGACUUAAACACACUUCUAAAACUUAUCUUCAGCUAUGAUGAAUUUACUUCCUUAAAUAAAAUGUAUGAUCUGGUGACAAAAUAAGCUCCAUUUCCUUCAUAGGGAACAUUUAGUAGCAGAAAUAUGCUUGCUUUGUGAGGAUUCCAGGAAUUCUAAAUGCUCUGGAAGUAUUUCAAAGGACAGUGUCAGGGAAGCCUCAAGAAGACUGAGCAAUUUUUUAAAGAGAAAGGAUGCUGGUGGCAAAGAUAAGCCUAAGAACCCGGGAAUUACAACAAAUAAUCUUUGAAGCAUCCAUGUGGAAAGAGUUCUUGGGCAAGCCAAAGGAGCAGCAACUAAUCUUCUAAACCAUUUGGUGCAUCACAGUGCUGCAGCUCGAACCAGCAACUGCACCAGGGCACACGGAGAACCCAGGCAGGGACGUGAACAAAUUCCUGGAAUUUUGGACUUUUACAUUUCCACCUUGAUUAUUAUUUAUUACCAGGAGAGAUUUUCUCAAAAUCAGGUGUGUAAGCCAGUGAGGUGAUUCAUUCUGCAAUCAUUCUGCAAAGUUGCUUUUCAUGGAAGAUUAGUCCCAAACAAACAUU
Molecule: long non-coding RNA, 625 nt
Organism: Passer domesticus (house sparrow)
Lineage: Eukaryota; Metazoa; Chordata; Aves; Passeriformes; Passeridae
Exons: 4
Source: RefSeq, a predicted model, not a curated record